Molecule: ribosomal RNA, 328 nt
Filed under: uncultured eukaryote
Lineage: Eukaryota
Description: partial 18S ribosomal RNA
Rfam family: Eukaryotic small subunit ribosomal RNA
Source: RNAcentral
CCCUUAGAUGUCCUGGGCCGCACGCGUGCUACACUGGUACAUUCAACGAGUUUACAACCUGAACUGAUAAGUUUGGGUAAUCUUUUGAAAAUGUACCGUGAUUGGGAUAGAUGAUUGCAAUUGUUCAUCUUCAACGAGGAAUACCUAGUAAACGCAAGUCAUCAACUUGCAUUGAUUACGUCCCUGCCCUUUGUACACACCGCCCGUCGCUCCUACCGAUUGGGUGUGCUGGUGAAAUGUUCGGAUCGGCCGUUUGUCGCGGUUUCCGCGUCAUGUGGCUGAGAAGUUCAUUAAACCCUCCCACCUAGAGGAAGGAGAAGUCGUAACA